Tachysurus fulvidraco (yellow catfish) is the source of this 315-nucleotide long non-coding RNA. RefSeq lists it as uncharacterized. Lineage: Eukaryota; Metazoa; Chordata; Actinopteri; Siluriformes; Bagridae. The record is from RefSeq and is a predicted model, not a curated record. The transcript has 2 exons.
CUGAGCUGAUAAACAACAAACAGGGUAUUCUUUUAGCUGGUGUAUUGAUGAAGAUGAUGAUAAUGAAGAUGAUGGACUCCUAAACAUCAAACUCGAAAAUCUCCCAAUAUGUGUUUAACCGUUCAACUGGUCUGAGAUCUUGGUGCAAUGGAACAAUACGUGCAGAGAACACAGACUCACACUCCUUCAUCAUGCCGAUGUCGACGCAGCGCUUGAGGCGACAGGCUUGGCAGUGUCUGCGGUUGUCUUUGGUGAUGGUGCAGCUGCCGUUAAAGGGACAAGUGAAACUGGCCUUCCGCUUCAUACUGCGCCUGA